GCCUGCUGAUCAUUUGGCUUGCAUAUGGGUUAUUGUGAUGGGAAUUGAUUCUUUUUCUCGUUGAAGGAGUAAGGGAAAAGAAUAGAACAAGAGACGGAGAUAGAGAGAACAACAGAGUCUUUCUUUUCUCUUUCUUUUUAUUGCCCAGUCAUGGAGGCUAAAGAGAUUUAGGAGGCAUUUCAAUUUCCCAAGAGUGUGUGUGUGUGAGCGUCGGUGUCAGAUUUCUUUUUUGUUUAAAAAUUUUUCCUUUUUUCUUUUCUGGUGUCUGGG
This 270-nucleotide unclassified non-coding RNA is filed under the name Hevea brasiliensis (rubber tree). Lineage: Eukaryota; Viridiplantae; Streptophyta; Magnoliopsida; Malpighiales; Euphorbiaceae. The record is from RNAcentral.